CCUACGGGGGGCUGCAGUCGAGAAUCUUCCGCAAUGGGCGAAAGCCUGACGGAGCGACGCCGCGUGCGGGAUGAAGGCCCUUGGGUUGUAAACCGCUGUCAGAGGGGAUGAAAUCAUGGUUGGCUAUCCUUCCAUGUUGACAGAGCCUCAAAGGAAGCACGGGCUAAGUACGUGCCAGCAGCCGCGGUAACACGUACUGUGCGAACGUUAUUCGGAAUCACUGGGCUUAAAGGGUACGUAGGCGGUUUAUCAAGUCAGGUGUGAAAUGCCUGAGCUCAACUGAGGCACUGCGCUUGAAACUGAUAAACUAGAGUAUUCCAGGGGUGUGCGGAACUGCCAGUGGAGCGGUGAAAUGCGUUGAUAUUGGCAGGAACACCGGAGGCGAAGGCGGCACACUGGGGGAUUACUGACGCUGAGGUACGAAAGCCAGGGUAGCGAAC
RNAcentral lists this ribosomal RNA (440 nucleotides) under uncultured bacterium. RNAcentral's name for it is "bacterial SSU rRNA". It matches the Rfam family "Bacterial small subunit ribosomal RNA", at positions 338 to 773 of the family's 1533-position model. The record is from RNAcentral.